Long non-coding RNA from Lagenorhynchus albirostris (white-beaked dolphin), 1322 nucleotides. RefSeq lists it as uncharacterized. The record is from RefSeq and is a predicted model, not a curated record. Lineage: Eukaryota; Metazoa; Chordata; Mammalia; Artiodactyla; Delphinidae. The transcript has 6 exons.
UGAACGUUGCUGUUGCUCUAGGAUGAAGACAUCCAAAUGCCCACUUUAAUAGAGAGAUGAAACAGAGCCACAAGAAGGUGUGAGGUGUAGAGCUCCAGUAACUAUGCAGGACCACUGAAACUGGAAGUCACAUACCCAGUGUGGCAGAGCAGAGAGAAAGAAGGAGCCUAGGUCACUGAUGACUCUCUGAACUUCCUGUCUCUGGACUUAUUUUUCAAAGUGAAAAUAUACUUUCAUGUGGUUGAGCCAAAAUUACUCUGGAUUUUUAAUUAGAUGCAAAGAGCCUAAAUGCUAAUUAAUACAAGUAACAGAUUGUUUAUUGUUAAUAAAUAAAACAUUAAUCAAAAAUAAAAGUGUAUUGAGUUGUUUAUUCAGCAAUUCCAGUGAGGAUUUCACCCUGUAGAUAUGCACCAAGAUAUAGUAUUGUUUGCAAGAGCAAACACUACAAGCAACCUAAGCAUCCAUGCAUGGGCACUGGUUACACAGACAAGCCUUUAGUGGGUUAUCAGGGAGCCAGUCAAACGGUGAGAUCUGUGUUGCCGUGAAAGAGCCUCAGUUCUUAUCAUUCAGUGAAAAUGAAUGAUUGUUCCAUCUUCAAGAAGGAGAGCAGUUAGAAGGCUAUGUCAAUAGACCAACAAAGAGGCAGGACUUUUCUUCUUACAAAGUCUAUGGAAGUGUGCUUUACCUAGCAAUUCCAUUCCUCCUUGUUAAUCUUCAUCAAGCUGCCUUUAAAGCCAGCAGACAAAUGGAAUGUCCCUGAGUGUGGAGUUCAUCUAAAUGCCUGCAGGAGAAACUCCGUUCCCUCAAAUGGGUGUGGGAGUGAUAUGAAGAUUUGCUCAAAGCCAAAGAGCUUCAAAAUUAAAGCAAGAGAUUAGCUACAGAUGGACAAGAAUCAGAUUGCUAUUGGACUUCUCAGUGGCUAUACUGGAUAAAAGAGACAAGAGAACAAUAUCUUCAACAUUCUGAGGGAAAAUUUCUUUCUAUCUAGAGUCCACUACCGAAUCAGGCUCUCCUUCAGGUAUGAGCAAAAUAAAAGCAUUUUCAGACAUGCAUGGGUAUGAAAGUUAUCCUUUUGUGUAAGUCCUCUCUGAAAGAGUUACUAAUUUAAAAUGUUGUCUUUGUUAAGCACUAUGUUUCAGUCUAUUUUUAGAUAUUUUCUUUUUUGCUGUUGCAAUUUUGGUCUUUAUUUCCAUUAUGUUUUCUUUUUUAACUUUGAGAUGUAAUUGACAUAUCCAUGAUGUUUUCUAACCGGUUGUUUGUAUAGAUGAAAGCAAUUAAAUUUUGCACACUAAUUUGAUACCCAUCCAUCUCAUAAGUCCUCA